Molecule: ribosomal RNA, 1343 nt
Filed under: uncultured bacterium
Lineage: Bacteria
Description: 16S ribosomal RNA
Rfam family: Bacterial small subunit ribosomal RNA
Source: RNAcentral
GACGAACGCUGGCGGCGUGCUUAACACAUGCAAGUCGAACGGAAAGGCCCUGCUUUUGUGGGGUGCUCGAGUGGCGAACGGGUGAGUAACACGUGAGUAACCUGCCCUUGACUUUGGGAUAACUUCAGGAAACUGGGGCUAAUACCGGAUAGGAGCUCCUGCUGCAUGGUGGGGGUUGGAAAGUUUCGGCGGUUGGGGAUGGACUCGCGGCUUAUCAGCUUGUUGGUGGGGUAGUGGCUUACCAAGGCUUUGACGGGUAGCCGGCCUGAGAGGGUGACCGGCCACAUUGGGACUGAGAUACGGCCCAGACUCCUACGGGAGGCAGCAGUGGGGAAUAUUGCACAAUGGGCGGAAGCCUGAUGCAGCAACGCCGCGUGCGGGAUGACGGCCUUCGGGUUGUAAACCGCUUUCGCCUGUGACGAAGCGUGAGUGACGGUAAUGGGUAAAGAAGCACCGGCUAACUACGUGCCAGCAGCCGCGGUGAUACGUAGGGUGCGAGCGUUGUCCGGAUUUAUUGGGCGUAAAGGGCUCGUAGGUGGUUGAUCGCGUCGGAAGUGUAAUCUUGGGGCUUAACCCUGAGCGUGCUUUCGAUACGGGUUGACUUGAGGAAGGUAGGGGAGAAUGGAAUUCCUGGCGGAGCGGUGGAAUGCGCAGAUAUCAGGAGGAACACCAGUGGCGAAGGCGGUUCUCUGGGCCUUUCCUGACGCUGAGGAGCGAAAGCGUGGGGAGCGAACAGGCUUAGAUACCCUGGUAGUCCACGCUGUAAACGGUGGGUACUAGGUGUGGGGUCCAUUCCACGGGUUCCGUGCCGUAGCUAACGCUUUAAGUACCCCGCCUGGGGAGUACGGCCGCAAGGCUAAAACUCAAAGGAAUUGACGGGGCCCCGCACAAGCGGCGGAGCAUGCGGAUUAAUUCGAUGCAACGCGUAGAACCUUACCUGGGUUUGACAUGGAUCGGGAGUGCUCAGAGAUGGGUGUGCCUCUUUUGGGGUCGGUUCACAGGUGGUGCAUGGCUGUCGUCAGCUCGUGUCGUGAGAUGUUGGGUUAAGUCCCGCAACGAGCGCAACCCUUGUACACUGUUGCCAGCACGUUAUGGUGGGGACUCAGUGGAGACCGCCGGGGUCAACUCGGAGGAAGGUGGGGAUGACGUCAAGUCAUCAUGCCCCUUAUGUCCAGGGCUUCACGCAUGCUACAAUGGCUGGUACAGAGAGUGGCGAGCCUGUGAGGGUGAGCGAAUCUCGGAAAGCCGGUCUCAGUUCGGAUUGGGGUCUGCAACUCGACCUCAUGAAGUCGGAGUCGCUAGUAAUCGCAGAUCAGCAACGCUGCGGUGAAUACGUUCCCGGG